This 78-nucleotide microRNA precursor is filed under the name Echinops telfairi (small Madagascar hedgehog). RNAcentral describes it as "miRNA (ENSETEG00000023700.1)". Lineage: Eukaryota; Metazoa; Chordata; Mammalia; Afrosoricida; Tenrecidae. The record is from RNAcentral.
UGCGUGUGUGCGUGUGUGUGUGUGUGUGUGUGUGUGUGUGUGUGUGUGUGUGUGUCUGUGUUCUAACUCACCCACACG